GAGGAUAUAGCUCAACUGGUAAAGUGCAUGCUUAGCAUGCACAAGGUCCUGGGUUCAAUUCCCAGCACCUCCU
RNAcentral lists this transfer RNA (73 nucleotides) under Camelus bactrianus (Bactrian camel). It matches the Rfam family "tRNA". From Rfam's summary of the family: Transfer RNA (tRNA) molecules are approximately 80 nucleotides in length. Their secondary structure includes four short double-helical elements and three loops (D, anti-codon, and T loops). The record is from Rfam by way of RNAcentral. RNAcentral also lists the same sequence under 3 other names. Lineage: Eukaryota; Metazoa; Chordata; Mammalia; Artiodactyla; Camelidae.